Molecule: ribosomal RNA, 253 nt
Filed under: uncultured bacterium
Lineage: Bacteria
Description: partial 16S ribosomal RNA
Rfam family: Bacterial small subunit ribosomal RNA
Source: RNAcentral
UACGGAGGGUGCGAGCGUUGUCCGGAAUUACUGGGCGUAAAGCGCGCGUAGGCGGAUCGCUAAGUCAGGGGUGAAAUCCCAGGGCUCAACCCUGGAACUGCCUCUGAUACUGGCAAUCUGGAGAUCGGGAGAGGUUGGUGGAAUUCCGAGUGUAGAGGUGAAAUUCGUAGAUAUUGGGAAGAACACCGAUGGCGAAGGCAGCCAUCUGGACCGACACUGACGCUGAGGCGCGAAAGCGUGGGGAGCAAACAGG